This 766-nucleotide ribosomal RNA is filed under the name uncultured archaeon. RNAcentral describes it as "bacterial SSU rRNA". It matches the Rfam family "Bacterial small subunit ribosomal RNA", at positions 9 to 768 of the family's 1533-position model. The record is from RNAcentral.
GAGUUUGAUCCUGGCUCAGGAUGAACGCUAGCGACAGGCCUAACACAUGCAAGUCGAGGGGCAGCACGGGAGUAGCAAUACAACUGGUGGCGACCGGCGCACGGGUGAGUAACACGUAUGCAACCUGCCUGUAAGAGGGGGAUAACCCGUUGAAAGACGGACUAAUACCGCAUAAUACUGGAGAUCUGCAUGGAUAUCCGGUUAAACAUUUAUGGCUUACAGAUGGGCAUGCGCAUGAUUAGAUAGUUGGAGAGGUAACGGCUCCCCAAGUCAACGAUCAUUAGGGGUUCUGAGAGGAAGGUCCCCCACACUGGUACUGAGACACGGACCAGACUCCUACGGGAGGCAGCAGUGAGGAAUAUUGGUCAAUGGGCGCGAGCCUGAACCAGCCAAGUCGCGUGCAGGAAGAAUGUCCUAUGGAUUGUAAACUGCUUUUGCAGGGGAAUAAAGUGCGGCACGUGUGCCGUUUUGUAUGUACUCUGCGAAUAAGGAUCGGCUAACUCCGUGCCAGCAGCCGCGGUAAUACGGAGGAUCCGAGCGUUAUCCGGAUUUAUUGGGUUUAAAGGGUGCGUAGGCGGGAUAAUAAGUCAGUGGUGAAAGUUUGCAGCUUAACUGUAAAAUUGCCGUUGAAACUGUUUAUCUUGAGUAUGGUCAAGCAGGCGGAAUGUGUAAUGUAGCGGUGAAUGCUUAGAUAUUACACAGAACACCGAUUGCGAAAGCAGCUUGCUGGGCCAUUACUGACGCUGAUGCACGAAAGCGUGGGGAG